Molecule: ribosomal RNA, 427 nt
Filed under: uncultured bacterium
Lineage: Bacteria
Description: bacterial SSU rRNA
Rfam family: Bacterial small subunit ribosomal RNA
Source: RNAcentral
UAAGGAAUUUUGGACAAUGGGCGAAAGCCUGAUCCAGCAAUGCCGCGUGAGUGAAGAAGGCCUUCGGGUUGUAAAGCUCUUUUGUCAGGGAAGAAACGGUGAAAGCUAAUAUCUUUUGCUAAUGACGGUACCUGAAGAAUAAGCACCGGCUAACUACGUGCCAGCAGCCGCGGUAAUACGUAGGGUGCAAGCGUUAAUCGGAAUUACUGGGCGUAAAGCGUGCGCAGGCGGUUGUGUAAGUCAGAUGUGAAAUCCCCGGGCUCAACCUGGGAAUUGCAUUUGAGACUGCACGGCUAGAGUGUGUCAGAGGGGGGUAGAAUUCCACGUGUAGCAGUGAAAUGCGUAGAUAUGUGGAGGAAUACCGAUGGCGAAGGCAGCCCCCUGGGAUAACACUGACGCUCAUGAACGAAAGCGUGGGGAGCAAACA